UAGGGAAUCUUCCACAAUGGACGAAAGUCUGAUGGAGCAAUGCCGCGUGAGUGAAGAAGGUUCUCGGAUCGUAAAGCUCUGUUGUGAGGGAAGAACAAGUACGGGAGUAACUGUCCGUACCUUGACGGUACCUCAUUAGAAAGCCACGGCUAACUACGUGCCAGCAGCCGCGGUAAUACGUAGGUGGCAAGCGUUGUCCGGAAUUAUUGGGCGUAAAGCGCGCGCAGGCGGCCUUUUAAGUCUGAUGUGAAAGCCCACGGCUCAACCGUGGAAGGUCAUUGGAAACUGAAAGGCUUGAGUACAGAAGAGGAAAGCGGAAUUCCACGUGUAGCGGUGAAAUGCGUAGAGAUGUGGAGGAACACCAGUGGCGAAGGCGGCUUUCUGGUCUGUAACUGACGCUGAGGCGCGAAAGCGUGGGGAGCAAACAGGAUUAGAUACCCUGGUAGUCCACGCCGUAAACGAUGAGUGCUAAGUGUUA
RNAcentral lists this ribosomal RNA (478 nucleotides) under uncultured Bacillota bacterium. RNAcentral's name for it is "bacterial SSU rRNA". It matches the Rfam family "Bacterial small subunit ribosomal RNA", at positions 355 to 825 of the family's 1533-position model. Lineage: Bacteria; Bacillati; Bacillota. The record is from RNAcentral.